AAAACAUGUCUACUUGGAGUUAUAAAUAGUCAGACCUGCUCACUGAAUGAAUUUUUAAAGAGCCGCGGUAUAUUGACCGUGCUAAGGUAGCAUAAUAAUUAGCUUUUUAAUUGAGAGCUGGAAUGAAAGGUCAGACAAAAAGAAAUCUGUCUUAAGUUCAAUAUUAAAACUUAAUCUUUAAGUGAAAAAGCUUAAAUAAUUUAGGAAGACGAUAAGACCCUAUAAAGCUUUAUGUAAUAAAAAUAUUAACUGAAUUUAAUUAAUAAAAGUUUUAAUUGACCUUUACAUUAUAUUGGGGCGAUAAAAGUAUAAUUAAUUUAACUGCUUAUAUUUAUCACACAAAUAAGUGAGUUGUUGCAAAUGGAUCCUUAGUAGAGAUUUUAAGAGCAAGUUACUUUAGGGAUAACAGCGUUAUUUUUUUUGAGAGCCCAUAUCGAAAAAAAAGUUUGCGACCUCGAUGUUGAAUUAAAAUAUCUAUACAAUGCAGAAGUUGUAUAAGAGGGUCUGUUCGACCUUUAAAUUUUUACGUGA
Molecule: ribosomal RNA, 531 nt
Filed under: Domecia acanthophora
Lineage: Eukaryota; Metazoa; Arthropoda; Malacostraca; Decapoda; Domeciidae
Description: partial 16S ribosomal RNA
Rfam family: Bacterial large subunit ribosomal RNA
Source: RNAcentral